UGAUUUCUUCCUUGACUGAAUCACUCUUGGAGUAUAGGAAAGCUAUUGAUUUAUGGGUGUUGAUCUUAUGUCCUACUUUGCUAAAUUCAUUUCUAAGCUCUAGAAAUCUGGUGGAGUAAUUGGGUGCAUCAACAUGUAUAGGAACACAAUUGAUUUAUGGGUGGUUAAUUUUAUAUCCUGCUACUUUACUGAAUUCUUUGAGUUUACUAUGGUUUUAUCUUCUUGUUGGACUGUUCCCUUUGCUAAGAUGUAAUGUCCUCCUUUGUCUCUUUUAUUUAUUUAUUUGUUCAUUCAUUCAUUUUAGUUAUACAUGUCUGUAUAACUAGACUGUAUUUUGACACAUCAUAAUACAUGAAGUAUAACUUCCCAUUCUUCUGGUUGUACCUGAUGUAAAGUUACACUGGUCAUGUAAUUAUAUAUGUGCAUAGGGUAAUAAUGUCCAAUUCAUUCUACCUACCCCCAUACCCCUCUCCUCCCUUCACUCCCCUCUAUCUAAUCGAGUACCUCUAUUCUUCCCUAGUUCACCCUCUUAUUUUCAGUUAGCAUCUGCAUAUAAAAGAGAAAUUCAGCUUUUGAUUCUUUGGGAUUGGCUUAUUUCACUUAGCAUGAGAGUCUCCAGGGCAAUAAUUUCAUUCUUCUUUAUGGCUGAGUAACAUUCCACUGUGUAUAUAUAACACAUUUUCUUAAUCCAUACAUCUAUGGGGGGGCACCUAAGUUGGUUCCAUAACUUUGCUAUUGUGAAUUGAGCUAUUUGAACAUUGAUGUGACUGUGUCACUAAAUAUGCUGAGCCACAUCCCCAGCCCUAUUUUGUAUUUUAUUUAGUGACAGAGGUCUCACUGAGUUGCUCAGCCCUUGCUUUUGCUGAGCCUGGCUAUGAACUUGUGAUCCUCCUGCUUCAGAGGCCUCCAGAGUCACUGGGAUUACAGGUAUACAGCACUAAACCUGGCCCAUGCCAGUUUUUUUUUUUAAACUAUAGCUCUGUAGUAUAAUUUGAAGUCUGGUAUUGUGAUGCUUCCUGCUUCACUUUUCUCUCUGAGGAUUACUUUGGCUAUUCUGGGAUUCUUAUUUUUCCAAAUGAAUUUCAUGAUUGCUUUUUCUAUUUCUAUGAAGAACAUCAUUAGAACCUUAAUAGGAAUUUGCAUUAAAUCUCUAUAGCACUUUUGGUAGUAUUGCUAUUUUGACAGUAUUAAUUCUCCCUGUCCAAGAACAUGGGAGAUCUUUCCAUCUUCUAAGGUGGUCUUUAAUUUCUUUCUUUAGUGUUCUGUAAUUUUAAUUGUAGGGGUCUUUCACCUCUUUUGUUGGAUUGAUGUCCAAAUAAUUUAUUUUCUUUGAGGCAUUGUGAAUGGGAUAGUUUUCCUAAUUUAUCUUUCAGUGGAUUCAUCACUGAUGUAUAGGAACAUGAUUUAUAGGUGUCAAUUUUAUAUCCUGCUACUACUGAAUUCAUUUAUGUAAGUUUUCUGGUGAAGUUUUUUGGAUCUUUAAAUAUAAGCUCAUGUCAUCAGCAAAUAAGGAUAGUGUGAGUUCUUUUCCUAUUUGUAUC
RNAcentral lists this long non-coding RNA (1541 nucleotides) under Marmota monax (woodchuck). Lineage: Eukaryota; Metazoa; Chordata; Mammalia; Rodentia; Sciuridae. The record is from RNAcentral.